This 292-nucleotide ribosomal RNA is filed under the name uncultured bacterium. RNAcentral describes it as "partial 16S ribosomal RNA". It matches the Rfam family "Bacterial small subunit ribosomal RNA", at positions 505 to 796 of the family's 1533-position model. The record is from RNAcentral.
GUGUCAGCAGCCGCGGUAAUACGUAGGGGGCAAGCGUUGUUCGGAAUUACUGGGUGUAAAGGGCUCGUAGGUGGCCAACUAAGUCAGACGUGAAAUCCCUCAGCUUGACUGGGGAACUGCGUCUGAUACUGGAUGGCUUGGGUUUGGGAGAGGGAUGCGGAAUUCCAGGUGUAGCGGUGAAAUGUGUAGAGAUCGGGAGGAACAUCUGUGGCGAAGGCGUCCACCUGGACCAGCACUGACGCUGAGGCACGAAAGCGUGGGGAGCAAACAGGAUUAGAAACCCUCGUAGUCC